Non-coding RNA from Triticum aestivum (bread wheat), 133 nucleotides. The record is from Rfam. Lineage: Eukaryota; Viridiplantae; Streptophyta; Magnoliopsida; Poales; Poaceae.
AGGCAGCCCUUUGUUUAUUACAAUUUCUAUGGAGGUGUUGUGUUGCUUGGAGAUUAAAUCUUCUGCUCUUCAGAUCAGCUGAGGGGGCGCUUGCUUCCCUCUUCGAAGUUGGCCUAGUAGUCUUAAGAACAAU